RNAcentral lists this ribosomal RNA (816 nucleotides) under uncultured bacterium. RNAcentral describes it as "bacterial SSU rRNA". It matches the Rfam family "Bacterial small subunit ribosomal RNA", at positions 62 to 896 of the family's 1533-position model. The record is from RNAcentral.
UCGACGGAAGGCCCUUCGGGGUACUCNAGUGGCGAACGGGUGAGUAACACGUGGGUGAUCUGCCCUGCACUUUGGGAUAAGCCUGGGAAACUGGGUCUAAUACCGAAUAGGACCACGCGCUUCAUGGUGUGUGGUGGAAAGCUUUUGCGGUGUGGGAUGGGCCCGCGGCCUAUCAGCUUGUUGGUGGGGUAAUGGCCUACCAAGGCGACGACGGGUAGCCGGCCUGAGAGGGUGACCGGCCACACUGGGACUGAGAUACGGCCCAGACUCCUACGGGAGGCAGCAGUGGGGAAUAUUGCACAAUGGGCGCGAGCCUGAUGCAGCGACGCCGCGUGAGGGAUGACGGCCUUCGGGUUGUAAACCUCUUUCAAUAGGGACGAAGCGCAAGUGACGGUACCUAUAGAAGAAGCACCGGCCAACUACGUGCCAGCAGCCGCGGUAAUACGUAGGGUGCGAGCGUUGUCCGGAAUUACUGGGCGUAAAGAGCUCGUAGGUGGUUUGUCGCGUUGUUCGUGAAAACUCACAGCUUAACUGUGGGCGUGCGGGCGAUACGGGCAGACUAGAGUACUGCAGGGGAGACUGGAAUUCCUGGUGUAGCGGUGGAAUGCGCAGAUAUCAGGAGGAACACCGGUGGCGAAGGCGGGUCUCUGGGCAGUAACUGACGCUGAGGAGCGAAAGCGUGGGGAGCGAACAGGAUUAGAUACCCUGGUAGUCCACGCCGUANACGGUGGGUACUAGGUGUGGGNNNCUUCCUUGGGAUCCGUGCCGUAGCUAACGCAUUAAGUACCCCGCCUGGGGAGUACGGCCGCAAGGCUA